UGUCGGGGCUAGGACUAAUCCCGGACUGAGGGGUCCCCUUCCGACGCAGACGGGACAAAGAAAUUAGCGGUGAACAGGAAGAAGGAAAGAAGGACUGCAUAGUCACCAGCCUUGUUUGAGGAUUAUGUCAAAGGUCUGUGUGAAUGUGAGGCCAGGACCAAAUGUCAACAACCAAAGACCAACAACCAUGGGAGAUGAAGAAACUGAGGCCUGGAGAGAAUAAGGAGCUGCCAGUGUCACACAACUACAGAGAGAGAGAGAGCUGGGCUCUCCUGCUUUCCACUGGUACCUCCUUUUUGAAAAAUUAUUUAUUUAUUUAUUUUUGACCGUGUCGGGUCUUUGUUACUGUGCGCGGGCUUUCUCUAGUUGCGGUGAGCAGGGGCUACUCUUCGUUGCGGUGCGCGGGCCUCUCGUUGUCGUGACUUCUCCUGUUGCAGAGCACGGGCUCUAGGCGCAGAGGCUUCAGUAGUUGUGGCAUGUGGGCUCAGUAGUUGUGGCUUGCGGGCUCUAGAGCUCAGGCUCAGUAGUUGUGGCACACUGGCCUAGUUGCUCCGCGGCAUGUGGGAUCUUCCUGGGCCAGGGCUCGAACUUGUGUCCCUUGCACUGGCAGGCAGAUUCUUAACCGCUGCAUCACCAGGGAGGCCCUCCACUGGUACCUCCUUUUGAUCAGCUCCAGUUUUGUCCUCAGGGAAGGAAGAUUUCAGGAAGGUGGGGACCUGGGCUGCCUUCUUUGGGGACAGACGUCUGGGUCAGUGGACACAUUCAGGACUUAGAGCCAAGAGGCCAGCUUGGCCCUGGGCUUCCAGUCUCAAGACUACCAUUUUCUGUCUCUGUUACCCUGGGCAGGUCCCCUUCCUUCUGAGUCCCACUCCCAAUGGGAAUAAUUGAGCCUCCUGCUGACCUCAUGGGGUUGCUGUGCGAUCAGAUGAGAUCACAAAUGUGAAAGUGCUUUGUAGGCUGUAAAGUGAUGUGCACUCAGAAGGUGGUUACCAGCCUGGUGCCUCUCCCUUGCCCUUAUUCUACUCAAUGCUUGUCAUUCUCUAAAAAGAAAAGGAACCACCAGCAGUUUACCAGAAUGAUAAAUAUAUGGGUGUGUGUGGG
Molecule: non-coding RNA, 1101 nt
Organism: Kogia breviceps (pygmy sperm whale)
Lineage: Eukaryota; Metazoa; Chordata; Mammalia; Artiodactyla; Physeteridae
Source: RefSeq, a predicted model, not a curated record